Molecule: non-coding RNA, 74 nt
Organism: Candidatus Kaiserbacteria bacterium
Lineage: Bacteria; Candidatus Kaiseribacteriota
Source: Rfam
GGACGGUUAGCUCAGCUGGUUAGAGCGCUGCAUUGACAUUGCAGAGGUCGGGGGUUCGAGUCCCUUAUCGUCCA